Molecule: long non-coding RNA, 1448 nt
Organism: Herpailurus yagouaroundi (jaguarundi)
Lineage: Eukaryota; Metazoa; Chordata; Mammalia; Carnivora; Felidae
Exons: 3
Source: RefSeq, a predicted model, not a curated record
UGCACGGGAGCGCGGUGGAGGGGUGAGGGGUGAGGGGUGGGAGGGGACCAGAGGCGUGGGGAGGGUUUGGAGGGGGGGCAGCUUCUGCAGUUGUCACCGCGUCAGCUCUGGGCAUCUGCCAGAGCACCCCUCCAGGCAACUUCUUCCCACAUUCCCCUCUGAUGGACCCCAACUCUCCUCACGCCUGGCCCGUCCAGCGGGGCACAAAGAAAUCCCAGUCUCUCCGUAAACUUUGCGCUUCCAGUUAUGCCGCCCCCUCCCCUGGCCUCCCCCCUCCCCCCUUCCAGCUUCUUGGCAGGAAGGUUAGGCCACUGGCAAAAUCCUCGGCGAGAGGCAGCUGAUCACAAAUGCCAACUGUGUGUCUUGGGGCCAGUUAAGCCCUCUCAUCUGCCCAGGCUCUCUGGAGACCAUUUCAUUGCUCUCAAGGUUCCCAGGAGACCGCUGCGGACGUGGACCAUCCCCCACUCAGCCCGCACCGAUGGGAUGCUGAGCGGCGUCCUAAAAGUGCUCUUUCUCACCUCCACUUCUCAUGGUAGACUGUAAUAAUUCCGAAUUUGGAGACAGGCAGAUCUUUUUUUUUUUUUUUUCUUCCCUCAAAUGAAAAAAGGAGGACCAUUAGCUAGGUGAUUAGCCCUAGGUGGGAAACGAAUCGUCUCAAAACAGAAUACUAACUUUUUGAGGAAGUCUGUGGAAGUUCUAAAGACCCACCCCAUCCCAUGACCUUUAAUUCUUUUUAGUUCUGCCACAGGGAAGCAGCCAGCGACUAAUAAAAGAUUUGAUCUUGCCAUAAUUUCCCAAGCAGGAAUGGACAAGGAACCCAAUUCUGGACAAAGGGAGAGUUUGUGGAGGCUUUUGGAAGAGAAUGUAGUAACUCUAAUAUUAUACUCAACAGACAAAGAAACAGACAAAAAUCUUCUCUGUGGAGGUUGCUAUGGCUUUGGAAGAAAACCACCUGCAAAGAAAAAUGUAAGAUAGGAAAAGAUACAUUUCCCACUCCCAUCCUUCCUCAGUUUCUUCCUCUCCCUGCCUUAAUAUAUACGUUGAGGAGUUGCAUUAUAAUAAUGGCUCAUAAUACACCUUAAAACAUGAAUUAAUAAAGCAGUUGUCACUGCUGAUACCCAGUUCCUGCACAUAAACCACCUGUGUGUCCCUGUGUUCCAUUCAGAUGCAGUCUUACUUGGUCUACUAGAGACCAAGCCUAUGCUCUUCCCAUUUCCUACAGAGACAAAUGGAUUUCAGGGGCAGGAAUGGCUAGUUCCUGUCGCCCUGUUGCUCAGUUACUUGGUCCUACACACUUACAUCUGCACAGAUAAAAGUAUUACCAGCAAGGAAACUAAGGUUCAGAAUGGAACAUUAUACUUCUUAAGCUCACAGAGUACUGGAGAAGGUGGAAUUCUAACCAUGCAUUGCCUAGGAAAACUGAUGGAGUUUUCCUUAUGCCAUUAAAG